GUACACGCUGUGACUAGCAUAUCAAUAAGCGGAGGAAAAGAAACUAACAAGGAUUCCCCUAGUAACGGCGAGUGAAGCGGGAAGAGCUCAAAUUUGAAAUCUUAAAGGGUUUCCCUUUACGAAUUGUAGUUUAAAGAAGUGUUUUCUGUUGAGGUUUUGGUAAAAGUUCUUUGGAAUAGGACAUCAUAGAGGGUGAGAAUCCCGUAUUUGACCUUUACUUUCAACUUUGUGAUACACUUUCAAAGAGUCGGAUUGUUUGGGAAUGCAGUCCAAAAUGGGUGGUAAAUUUCAUCUAAAGCUAAAUAUUGGCGAGAGACCGAUAGCGAACAAGUACCGUGAGGGAAAGAUGAAAAGAACUUUGAAAAGGAGAGUUAAACAGUACGUGAAAUUGUCAAAAGGGAAGCGUUUGACACCAGUGUUGUUUUUCUGAAAAUCAAUUAAAGAACUGUUUAUGCUAAGUUGUUUAGACUUUAUCAGCUAACUGUUUAGUUUUGAGCUUUUCUUUAAUGCACUUUUCAGUUAACAAGUCAACAUCAAUUUCUUUUGCUGUAAAAAAGCUUGAGGAAGGUGGCUUGAGAUUCGUCUUAAGUGUUUAUAGCCUCUUGCCUAUGCAGUCGGAGAGAUUGAGGUCUGCAGCGUAGAUCCUUCGGGGCUAAAUGCAUUUGUGCUAAGUUAUAGCAUUUUAUAGACAACUUGUUGACUAUGAUUUGUCUUGUAGCUUACUCGCUUAUGUUAUUUUACCUACGCUUAGGAUGUUGACAGCAGUAUAGACUGU
Molecule: ribosomal RNA, 775 nt
Filed under: uncultured Neocallimastigales
Lineage: Eukaryota; Fungi; Neocallimastigomycota; Neocallimastigomycetes; Neocallimastigales
Description: partial large subunit ribosomal RNA
Rfam family: Eukaryotic large subunit ribosomal RNA
Source: RNAcentral